Molecule: ribosomal RNA, 459 nt
Filed under: uncultured bacterium
Lineage: Bacteria
Description: partial 16S ribosomal RNA
Rfam family: Bacterial small subunit ribosomal RNA
Source: RNAcentral
CCUACGGGAGGCUGCAGUGAGGAAUAUUGGUCAAUGGCCGCAAGGCUGAACCAGCCAAGUCGCGUGAGGGAAGACGGUCCUAUGGAUUGUAAACCUCUUUUGUCGGGGAGUAAAGGUCUCCACGUGUGGAGAUUUGCAUGUACCUGAUGAAAAAGCAUCGGCUAACUCCGUGCCAGCAGCCGCGGUAAUACGGAGGAUGCGAGCGUUAUCCGGAUUUAUUGGGUUUAAAGGGUGCGCAGGUGGAAUGUAAAGUCAGCGGUAAAAUUUCGGGGCUCAACCCCGGAGUGCCGUUGAAACUGGCGUUCUUGAGUGUGCGUGAAGUAGGCGGAAUGCGUGGUGUAGCGGUGAAAUGCAUAGAUAUCACGCAGAACUCCGAUUGCGAAGGCAGCAUACCGGCGCAUAACUGACGCUGAUGCACGAAAGCGUGGGUAUCGAACAGGAUUAGAUACCCUGGUAGUC